UAGUCAAUGAUCAUUUAGACAUGAACAAUUAAGAGUCAAUUUUAUUGUUCUGGGUCAAUCUUAAGUUUGAGGAUUUUUGUUACUGUUGUUAAAGGAAAAAAAAUCAAUGUUAUGAAAUAUUCAUAGAUAUCUAAAUGAGUAAAUGAAAUGUGGAAAGCAAGAAUCAAUGGAAAUAAAAGUUUUAUUCUAUUUUUUUAAUCAUCGACUGCGCUUUUCCUGUUUCAAAAUGGACACAUUUGAGCUGAUUUAAGCAAUAUUCCGUGGUGGCGAGCUCAAGUGGUUGCAUUUCUGUGUUGAAAGCACAGAGAGCAAUGACGGACAAGUUAGACCUGCUUUAAGGAUUCUCCCCUGAUCAAGAGCCUUAGGGUUGUAUUUUUGUACUGGGGAGAAAGGAGACAAAUAAUGGACACACUCCCGCUGAUUGUAACAUUCUUCCAAGGUCGUGAGCCCUCUGGUUCCAUCUAUGUUGGAGGAGCAUGGAGACCCCAACAGGUGCUUGAGCCGAUUUCAUCUUCUGUGGGAUCGGGAUUGUCACGUGACAUUCCUUUUGCGUUAGGAAAAUGGAACAAGGAGAGUAAUGGUCAAAAAUUUUGUUUUGGUUUGGGUCAUUUGUGUUCAUGGAAUUAUUAAAAAGUAAGAGUAUAAUAAAAAGGUUCACUGUGGCUAACUGAUAAAUAUGAUAUAAAACAUUAUAUUCAUUAAUUUAUUACAUAGCAUUGAGAUUGAUUAAUGAAAGAAAUAUAACCUAUGUUGGCAAUGAUUCUAAGUUAGAAGUUAAGGGCAUUCAAGCAUCUUAUUCUUCAGUUUUUGUGAAUUAUAGUCAUUUUAAUAUUUUCAAUGAAUUAAUGAUUUAAUCAAUACAAGUAUAGAAAGGAAUUAAGAAAAAGUGGGUCUCAUGGACCAGUGAUGAUGACAGGUGAUGGAUGAGUCUUGGGUCAUGAGCAAUAUGUGUCUGGAUAUCUGAGGUCCAACAUAAUAAAUAGUCUAUUCCUUCUGUUCUAUUUGAUCCUGUACAUGGAUGUUAGGAACAUAAAAAGAUCAGAUUCUUAUUUUGAAUUUUUAAAUUUGGGUUUGUUAUUAUUAGUGGAUCAAUGAUAGAACCAUUAAAGAAAUAUACGUAAUAGUUAAAAAAUAGAGGGAGAAGAAUUAUCCAACUAUGAACAUAUGGUGAGGCAACAAAUAAUAUAAUUGAAAAUAUUUAUGUUCAUUAAGAAAUAAGUGGAGAAAGGGUGUUACCUCCUUAGCUAAGAGUUUAUACAGGUGAGUCUAGUCUUUCUGACUCAGUGUCAAGUUUGAGGUUGUUCCUUUUGUUAAGAGAAAAAUAUAUUAAUAUCAUGAAAGUAGUGAGUAAAUGAAAUAUGAAAAGCAAGGAUCAGUGGAGAUAAGGUCUUAACUUUCUUUUUUUUUCAUUGACUGUACUUCUCUGAACAGACACACUAAGCUGACUAAGCAUUGUUUUAUGGUGGUGAGCUCCACGAUUGCGUCUGUAUGUUAGAAACAGAGACCGAUGUGAGUAGUAGUCAAGUUCUUGUCUUGGUUUCAGCUAUGUUUUUUUUAAGGAUAUUUGGUAUAUUUUUAAAAGUGCUAUAUAGAGUCAAAGGUAGCCAACUGUGGCCUGGUGACAACUAUUGAAUUCCUAUGAAACAUUAUAUUGAUUAUUACAUGCAUGAAAUUUAAGAUAAUUUUUUUCACAUUUUAUUUUUUAUUUUAUUUUAUUUUUUUAUUAUAUCACAGCCUAGCUA
Non-coding RNA from Leptonychotes weddellii (Weddell seal), 1742 nucleotides. Lineage: Eukaryota; Metazoa; Chordata; Mammalia; Carnivora; Phocidae. The record is from RefSeq and is a predicted model, not a curated record.